This 469-nucleotide long non-coding RNA is filed under the name Vigna radiata. Its description in RNAcentral is "long non-coding RNA (VRAD_LNC015742)". The record is from RNAcentral. Lineage: Eukaryota; Viridiplantae; Streptophyta; Magnoliopsida; Fabales; Fabaceae.
CCGGUCUCAUCGGCCUCGGCCGCCACCCCAUCUCUUUCGUCCAACAAACCGCCUCAAAGUACAACAAAAUCUUCUCCUACUGCCUCCCUUCCACCUCUAGCUCCACCGGCCACCUCACCUUUGGCGGCGGCGCCUAUCGCAAGCUCCUCUACACCCCAUUCACCACCAUUUCCCGCGGUUCCUCCUUCUACGGUCUCGACAUCGUUUCCAUCACUGUCUCCGGUGUCAAACUCUCUCUCACUCCCUCCCUCUUUUCGAGCGGCGGUGCCAUCAUCGACUCCGGCACCGUCAUCACGCGCCUCCCCCCCACUGCCUACGCCGCUCUCCGCUCAUCCUUCCGGCAGGGCAUGUCCAAGUACCCCUCUGCCCCUGAGCUCUCCAUACUCGACACGUGUUACGAUCUCAGCGCGUACACGGUGAUUUCCAUUCCCAAGGUAAACUUUGUGUUUGGUGGCUCUGUGACAGUGGA